Molecule: ribosomal RNA, 561 nt
Filed under: uncultured fungus
Lineage: Eukaryota; Fungi
Description: SSU rRNA
Rfam family: Eukaryotic small subunit ribosomal RNA
Source: RNAcentral
GGAAGGGGUGUAUUUAUUAGAUUAAAACCAAUGCCCCUUUCGGGGCUUCUUUGGUGAUUCAUAAUAACUUCAGGGGUCGCACGGCCUUUGCGCGGCGAUGGUUCAUUCAAAUUUCUUCCCUAUCAACUUUGAAUGUUUGGGUCUUGGCCAAACAUGGUGGGCAACGGUAACGGAGGGUUAGGGCUCGACCCCGGAAGAAGGAGCCUGAGAAACGGGCUACUACAUCCAAGGAAGGCAGCAGGCGCGCAAAUUACCCAAUCCCAAUUCGGGGAGGUAGUGACAAUAAAUACUGAUACAGGGCUCUUUUGGGUCCUGUAAUUGGAAUGAGUACAAUUUAAAUCCCUUAACGAGGAACAAUUGGAGGGCAAGUCUGGUGCCAGCAGCCGCGGUAAUUCCAGCUCCAAUAGCGUAUAUUAAAGUUGUUGUGGUUAAAAAGCUCGUAGUUGAACCUUGGGCCUGGCUGGCCGGUCCGCCUCACCGCGUGUACUGGUCCGGCCGGGCCUUUCCCUCUGUGGAACUCCAUGCCCUUCACUGGGUGUGGCAGGGAACCAGGACUUUUAC